UCCCUGGUGGUCCAGUGGUUUGGACUCUGUACUUCAAUUGCAGAGGAUACAAGUUCAAUCCCUGGUUGGGGAA
This 73-nucleotide transfer RNA is filed under the name Bos taurus (domestic cattle). It matches the Rfam family "tRNA". From Rfam's summary of the family: Transfer RNA (tRNA) molecules are approximately 80 nucleotides in length. Lineage: Eukaryota; Metazoa; Chordata; Mammalia; Artiodactyla; Bovidae. RNAcentral also lists the same sequence under 4 other names. The record is from Rfam by way of RNAcentral.